RNAcentral lists this non-coding RNA (27 nucleotides) under Bombyx mori (domestic silkworm). Lineage: Eukaryota; Metazoa; Arthropoda; Insecta; Lepidoptera; Bombycidae. The record is from RNAcentral.
CAGCAGAAGGUCCAACAAAGAAGGCUC